Molecule: ribosomal RNA, 443 nt
Filed under: uncultured bacterium
Lineage: Bacteria
Description: partial 16S ribosomal RNA
Rfam family: Bacterial small subunit ribosomal RNA
Source: RNAcentral
CCUACGGGCGGCAGCAGUGGGGAAUAUUGGACAAUGGGGGGAACCCUGACCCAGCGACGCCGCGUGAGUGAAGAAGUCUCUCGGUUUGUAAAGUUCUAUUAGCAGGGACGAAAGAAAUGACGGUACUUGAUUAAGAAGCCACGGCUAACUACGUGCCAGCAGCCGCGGUAAUACGUAGGUGGCAAGCGUUAUCCGGAUUUACUGGGUGUAAAGGGCGCGUAGGCGGGAAUGCAAGUCAGAUGUGAAAAGCAUGGGCUCAACCCCCGGACUGCUUUGGAAACUGGAGAACUUGAGUGUAGGAGAGGGAGGCGGAAUUCCGAGUGUAGCGGUGAAAUGUGUAGAUAUAAGGAGGAACACCAGUGGCGAAGGCGGCUUACUGGACUAUAACUGACGUUGAGGCGCGAAAGCGUGGGGAGCAAACAGGAUUAGAUACCCGUGUAGUC